AGUGAACGCUGGCGGUAGGCCUAACACAUGCAAGUCGAACGGCAGCACAGUAAGAGCUUGCUCUUACGGGUGGCGAGUGGCGGACGGGUGAGGAAUACAUCGGAAUCUACUUUUUCGUGGGGGAUAACGUAGGGAAACUUACGCUAAUACCGCAUACGACCUGCGGGUGAAAGCAGGGGAUCUUCGGACCUUGCGCGAUUGAAUGAGCCGAUGUCGGAUUAGCUAGGUGGCGGGGUAAAGGCCCACCAAGGCGACGAUCCGUAGCUGGUCUGAGAGGAUGAUCAGCCAGACUGGAACUGAGGCACGGUCCAGACUCCUACGGGAGGCAGCAGUGGGGAAUAUUGGACAAUGGGCGCAAGCCUGAUCCAGCCAUACCGCGUGGGUGAAGAAGGACUUCGGGUUGUAAAGCCCUUUUGUUGGGAAAGAAAAGCAGCGGGUUAAUACCCCGCUGUUCUGACGGUACCCAAAGAAUAAGCAACGGCUAACUUCGUG
This 492-nucleotide ribosomal RNA is filed under the name uncultured bacterium. Its description in RNAcentral is "partial 16S ribosomal RNA". It matches the Rfam family "Bacterial small subunit ribosomal RNA", at positions 29 to 507 of the family's 1533-position model. The record is from RNAcentral.